RNAcentral lists this transfer RNA (128 nucleotides) under Sphingopyxis sp. OAS728. RNAcentral describes it as "tRNA-OTHER". The record is from RNAcentral. Lineage: Bacteria; Pseudomonadati; Pseudomonadota; Alphaproteobacteria; Sphingomonadales; Sphingopyxidaceae.
GCGGCUGAGCAGUUCGGCGGGAUCGUCGUUGCCGCCCUUCAUGAAGGUGUUGGUCAUGCGCGGCAUCGGCGCGUGCGCAAAACUCUCGCGCCGGCCGUUGCCCGUGGGUUCGACCCCCAUCAGCCGCG